This 73-nucleotide transfer RNA is filed under the name Actinoplanes flavus. Its description in RNAcentral is "Actinoplanes sp. NEAU-H7 tRNA-Leu". It matches the Rfam family "tRNA". Rfam says of the family: Transfer RNA (tRNA) molecules are approximately 80 nucleotides in length. Their secondary structure includes four short double-helical elements and three loops (D, anti-codon, and T loops). Lineage: Bacteria; Bacillati; Actinomycetota; Actinomycetes; Micromonosporales; Micromonosporaceae. The record is from RNAcentral.
GCCCGGGUAGCCCAACGGAAGAGGCGCCGCGUUCAGAGCGCGGAGGAUGGGGGUUCGAAUCCCUCUCCGGGUA